UACGGAGGGUGCGAGCGUUGUCCGGAUUUAUUGGGUUUAAAGGGUGCGUAGGCGGCCCGUUAAGUCAGUGGUGAAAUCCCAGGGCUCAACCCUGGAACUGCCAUUGAUACUGACGGGCUUGAGUUCGGUUAAGGCGGGCGGAACUGGUGGUGUAGCGGUGAAAUGCAUAGAUACCACCAAGAACCCCGAUUGCGUAGGCAGCUCGCUGAGCCGAAACUGACGCUGAGGCACGAAAGCGUGGGGAGCGAACAGG
Molecule: ribosomal RNA, 253 nt
Filed under: uncultured bacterium
Lineage: Bacteria
Description: partial 16S ribosomal RNA
Rfam family: Bacterial small subunit ribosomal RNA
Source: RNAcentral